RNAcentral lists this RNase P RNA (393 nucleotides) under Engelhardtia mirabilis. Its description in RNAcentral is "Planctomycetes bacterium Pla133 Bacterial RNase P class A". It matches the Rfam family "Bacterial RNase P class A". Rfam says of the family: Ribonuclease P (RNase P) is a ubiquitous endoribonuclease, found in archaea, bacteria and eukarya as well as chloroplasts and mitochondria. Its best characterised activity is the generation of mature 5'-ends of tRNAs by cleaving the 5'-leader elements of precursor-tRNAs. Cellular RNase Ps are ribonucleoproteins. The record is from Rfam by way of RNAcentral. Lineage: Bacteria; Pseudomonadati; Planctomycetota; Planctomycetia.
CGAGGCACCUGGGCGGCCGCUGUGCGCUUCGAGUCGUGGCUUCGGCCGUCGGCGAGGAUCGCGCGGAGGAAAGUCCGGACUCCACGAGUCAGGGCGGUUGCUAACGACAACCGGCCGUGAGGCUAGGGAAAGUGCCACAGAGAACAGACCGCCCGGCGCCACUUCGGUGGCGUCAGGUAAGGGUGAAACGGUGCGGUAAGAGCGCACCGCGGUCCUGGUGACAGGGCUGGCAGGGUAAACCCCGCCCGGAGAAAGACCGCGUAGAGGGACCGGCGUCGACUCAGCCCAGGGUCCCCGGGUAGGUCGUUAGAGGCCGUGCGUGAGUGCGGUCCCAGAGAAAUGGUCGCCACCCCUUCGGGGGUACAGGAUCCGGCUUACAGGGUGGCUCGCGUC